RNAcentral lists this unclassified non-coding RNA (292 nucleotides) under Hevea brasiliensis (rubber tree). The record is from RNAcentral. Lineage: Eukaryota; Viridiplantae; Streptophyta; Magnoliopsida; Malpighiales; Euphorbiaceae.
AAGUAAAUCUGUUUCAUACGAAUUCAAUUACAAUUCCUCUAGUCAGUUGCUUCUAAUUUUUACAAGAAACCGUUUAGGUUAUUUGUCGCAAUAAGCAAUGGAAGGAAAGUUUAAACUGUUUUUAGUCUCUAUUUUUAGAAAAUUUAAUUGUUUUUAUGAGCUUUCAUGAUAUGAUAUUAAUUAUCUGUUUCAAGAAACUCGCUCAAUUAGAUGGUUGAAGCCUGUAGAAGUGCUCUUUGUAUUGCAGAACCUGUAGAAGUGCUCACACAUUAGCUAGAUCAAAGCCUGUAGG